ACUCCUACGGGAGGCAGCAGUGGGAAUCUUGGGACAAUGGGGCAACCCUGAUCCAGCCAUGCCGCGUGAGUGAUGAAGGCCUUAGGGUCGUAAAGCUCUUUCGCCUGUGAAGAUAAUGACGGUAGCAGGUAAAGAAACCCCGCGUACAUCCGUGCCAGCAGCCGCGGUAAUACGGAGGGGGUUAGCGUUGUUCGGAAUUACUGGGCGUAAAGCGCACGUAGGCGGAUCGGAAAGUUGGGG
RNAcentral lists this ribosomal RNA (240 nucleotides) under uncultured bacterium. RNAcentral's name for it is "partial 16S ribosomal RNA". It matches the Rfam family "Bacterial small subunit ribosomal RNA", at positions 335 to 593 of the family's 1533-position model. The record is from RNAcentral.